CCUACGAGAUUUGCGAAUUUUGGUACGGCGAGGGCACGACAAGGAUUGGGGGCGGAGGUGCGGUGUAGGUACCGGUGGGAGUAGGGAGCACGAGGUGGUGGUUUAGGGGUGGCAGUGAAGGAAGAGGUGGCUGGUGGCUGGGAUAGGGGGGUCGAGGCGGAUGCGGAGGGACAAGCGGCGGAGGCGGAACGAAGGGGCCAGCGCCGGUAACGGUGCCACUGCCGGCGGCACGGGGGACUGCUGUAGAGCGUCGAGUUAUUGGCAGAGGCGCGCGAGCAGGCGGCGGCGCCACAGAGAAGGCGACGGUGUAGAGGGUACCUGGGGCGGGUCCGCCUGCGGAUGGAGGUGUACUAGGCGCUCGUCGUCGCGGAGCCGGAGGCGGUCGAGGCGGCCGUGCGCCGGCUUGGCCUUAUGCUCUCUCUGCAGCCUUCGUUGCGCCUCCUGCUCCUCCUCCCGCGGCCUUCCUCCUUCCCCAACCGCCGGUCCUCGAGAAACCCCGUGGCACACCUGGGAGCACUCGACCUCGGGCCGCUCAUGCAGCAAGUGUUCUUUCAGCCGCAGCCGUUCAAGCAGACAUAUUCGCCUCUCCUGCCUCUCCUGAUGCACAAGUAAGUCAUACGCCUGCGGUACCGCUUCGAACGUCAGCUGGUCCGUCGUGCGUACGAGAUGGCUAUGUUGGAAGGAGUACUCUUUUUCUCCGGUUCCUUAGAUUCGUUCGACUUACUAGGAAGAUGUACCCUCUUCUCCUCCGACUUUCCUUUCGAACGACAAGUCUUCUACCACCAGUUGAACUACCUCAAUAUAAAUGUUUCCUACUCCGUCUCUUCCGGCGGUAUGGCUUUCGGACUCCGCUACCUAGUCAAACGAAGACUUAAAGGAAUGCUCGGAUGGGGUCUGGUUUUGGUCCGAAAGUAUCUAUAACUCUUACUAGAUUGACUUUCCCUUUGUGGUUACCUGUCUAACUAGACACCUCUACAGCCCAAACCAUUUUGCCUUCAACGUUACGCACGAUAUAAGUAGCAACAUAGAUGUCCUAUAGUUCGAUACCAAGAGCGUGGUUGACAUUAUGAUCGGUUAGUUGUGAUACUACAUUACAGACUCGCAAAGAGGUUGAUGGGACUGUAUUUCCAGCGGUAUAAGUCGCCACGAGUCUCGUUCCUACUUUUCCUACUCGAUUAUUGUUUUUAAUGCUUACCCGUAAACGUUUAUUAACAACCUUGAGUACGAGAAGAAUGUCUUGCCUACCGGAUAUUGUUAGAACCAGAGGAUCACCACCUACUCCUUGUCUUCAAGCCACAUGUUGUUUUCCUCUUCUAACGUAGUAAGUUUCGAAGAUAACUACAAGAAUGGGACAGGCGUUGUGGGUAAGGUGCUUGAGACAUAGAACGAAAUUGGCCAAAGGCACUACGUUCAAAUUACAGAUGUGGUGGAGGCCUUUCUCAGCGACAGUUCUGGAUACACAGUCGUAAAUCAUCUCUUUCACGAGAUAGUCGAUAGUUUAACCUCAACUUCGCACCGCCAGUUCAAAAGAUACAACAAGGAGCUUAUUUUCGGUAUCUGCUACAUAACGUUAAAGAGUUCCUGAGAGAAGGUCUACAUGGUUACCGAUAACGAGUACCUUUCUUUCACAGUUUCUUAUAUGUUGAACGAUACCUUUUCAAAAGAACACCCCUUUAUUUCUAAGAACAUACGUGUGUAUAGUAACUUUCACCUUAUCUAUAAGGUUUACGGUUGUGUUACUAACAGGUCAUACGUCUUGAUAAACCCGAGCGCGUCGACAUAGUCAACGCUCCUUCUCAUCCUUCUAGUCCGUCUCUCCCAAAGUGUAUGGAGAAGAUGUGACUGUUCAGAAACGAAAGGUCUUAACGGUACCUAUCUGAACCUCGAUAACUUCUCGUAAGACUAGAGCCAGUUCCAAAGGUACAGCGUCUCUUCCUAUACCCAUAAUCCCCUAAACCUUCGUACAAACCACUCGUUGUUAGACCUCUGCAACGUUUACAACCGUAGCUAGACAAGAAACUAUACGAAAAACUAUCGAACAGGUUCCAACUAGUGAAAGCAGAAUUUGGGUAAGGAAUAUUUCUACAAGUCGACCUGUAAUUGUAAAGAGGCGUAGAGAGAAGACUUAUGUAUUCAAUAGAACUUUUAGGACAACUUAACGAGUUACUUCGUCGCUUUCGACGUCUUGUUCUAUAUACCUUGAAUUACGUUAAGUGUCUUCUAGAAGCAGUUGUCAUACCCUUCCUCGGGGCACUAUACCUCAACGAUAAUUUUUUCGAGAUACAUUCCGCCUACCGUCGUCUAGAACCAUAGUCGGCCUAUAUAGGUAGACCGUUUUACUAGUAGUACUUUUGUUUGUACUUGUCCUUUCAAAAAUCCGAGUACCUUCUUUGGUACCGAAGACUCUGCGUAGCGUUAAGAAACAGUAAGUGACCUUUCCUUUAAUUCCGACUUGAAGACCAGUUAGACGGUCUGUGUGAUGAAGACUUGACCGAAAAAGUAACGAAUCGCCUAACGAUACGUUAUUACGGUCGGGAACACUCUAUGAUCUAAGAAACUAACUUUACUUCCAAUACUGUUCGUGAUAUUGGACCUUACUUGAUAAGUACAAGCUCUUUUACUUUUCCGUUCUGUGUCUAUAAGUUAAUUAGCCAGUUAAAAGUCAAUUAACCGGUACCCUGCCAGAGAAGAAAACAACCACAACAGUGAAGUCCGUAAAUUAGUCGGUAACCACACAACCAUAACAGUGAAGUCCGUUUGCACAUGGUUAUUAUACGUUGUAACAAUUCUUUUAGACACUUUCACAUCACACUGUCUAAUAUGCAUAUGCAAUUGACCUACGGGUUUGCCUUUCCGCACUUGAUGUAAAGACGUAGGUGACUGUCAAAACAAAUCGAUCGUCACCGACCACACUACGUGUUAACUAUAGGACUUCACGACAAGCAGUUACCGCAAUUUCUUAAGACCAAGUCUAAGAACAACGUCUCUUCUAGAGGUUCUAAGAAGACUCCGAAAGACUACCUCUUUUAGGUCGUAACAGUGAUUGUCCACGUAUCCCAAGUACUGACCAUUGCAUAUCAAAACAUUAGUCUCACGCGACAUAAUCCACCCCUCUAACUCACUAACUAAUCAUUAGUCUUACGCGACAGAAUCCGCCCCUCUAACCCACUAACUAAUGAAAGGGAAACUAAGUCGUUUCCCAACCAAAGAGAAAAAAUCCCCUUGAUUUUGAAAUAACUAAUUGAGUAAGGUCUCCAUACUAAUGUCACAGUACGCCGAGUUCAUCGGUGUAUACAGAUCCAUGUUUCUCAUAAGGUGAUCUGAUAGUCGAAGUACUAAAGAACUAGGCGAGAGUACUGACUUUAACGUGAGUUUUCGAACACGUACAUCAGACUGGAGGGAUUCAUAUCGAAGUACCCGUAGAGGACACAAACGGAAAAUUCAGUAACUGAUGGAAGGGUGAGUUAGAGAGGAAAUCACGAUCACUAGAGGAAGUCAUACCGGGAAAGACUAGAGUUCAAGCUCGGACCCAACCGCAAGCUCCGGAAGUAGACCUUCGUUAAACCACAGGGUCACUUAGUGAAACUACCAUCGUUCGAGUUCCUUAAGCAGUACCAGCGUCUUAAGAGAGCAAGUUCCGAAGCAUAGUUGUAAGUGAGCCGGACAGAGUAAGACGUUAGAACAAAACCUCCAGUACGAAGGGCAAAGUUCCAUAGAACAUACGUUUUGACCAGAAAGUUUAAGUCACAGCAGAGAUCUCUACACCCAAAGCGAUAGUUGUUUCCACCCUUAACAAAUUUACUAGAGAAGUUACACCCAAAGAAAGCAACCCCGUUCCCUCCGGGCCUAAAAGCGUUCCUUAAGUCUGAGAUGGUUGUUCUUUAACUCGACCUUACCUGGGACCAACUAGCAAGGUUUCUAGCAUCUAGAGUACGGCUUCGUCAAGUUAGGGGUGUCUAAAAAAGAAGUCCACUUAACUUACAAGUAGGAAGUACAAAUGUACUGAAAACUAUCAAAGAGUCACGGACUAAGUUAGUUCCAGCAGAAGUUUGGGUUAGAAUUGACUUGGGUUAUUGUAGCGAUAACAACCCCGCUUUAGAUACCCAUACGCUUUAGAUACCCAUAAGUUUUAAGACCCGAACCGUUAGCGAAUCCCCGGUGAUUCCGGGUACUACUGUCUGGAGGGAAAACACAGACAACGGAGCGGUGCCCAGUGAAAACCGGGUUUACGUGAUUAUCUUAGGCGACGGUACCUACGUUAUCCUACCCGGUGCAAUUCUAAUUAACGUCUUACGCACCGUGUUAAUUACAAGGUCCAAGGUUAGGACACGGGCAGUUGGUCGUCGUUUUAGGCUCCCGAUAUCUAAGAGUUCGCUUGGCUGUCGCCGUGCGUUAGCUCGGGUCAGGUCAGUUUAGUUGUACUGAGCGCUCGAAGCCCCGGUGGAUCGUGCUCUGUCGGUGAGCCGAGCUACGGAGGUUAAGGGUGGCGUAUCAACGAGGGGACGCUGUGGGCGUAAGUAGCGUACACCAAAGGAGACAACGAGGGAGCUCGAGCGGCUGCAACGAUCUCUACCGAUGCAGAGGUAAGCUAGGGUGGGGCAAUAGGAACAAUCGACGGUACGGUAACUCCAGCUGCCGUCCUGGCGAGUGGUAGCACAUUAGGUACCACGAGAACGAGGACGGUUGCUUCUGGAGUGGUAACGAUGUUAGUAAGGUUACGGUCUUCCACUCCGACGAAAGCAGUUACAAGUUCUUCAAGACGUACUAAAGGAAGUAAGGUUCGCGUACCCACAGUGAAGAUAGAGAGCUACGGGUAAACCUGUUCGAAAACACUCUAACCAAUCGCGCCGUCUAACCCUAAAGGACCAAUUGUCUCCGGGUGUACGAAAACCUCUGUAGGUAUAACAAAAGGUUUCCGCGUUACUCCCCUACUUCACCUCUUUGAAACUUGAAUGAUCCCUACAGACCAAUGACUAACACCCAAAGGGACGACUAAACGCGAACAAGGUACUUUAGAGUUUACUGCAAGGACCAAAACCUGUUUACUACCAAACCCUAUCUAAAUUUAGUAAACUACGUCGUUGGCAACAGGCACAGUUCUAACUACGCGAAGCACUACAAGGCCGGUCAUAGAACUAGAGACCACGUUUCUUGAAGUCACCCGUCAGAACCUGGACAAGCCACUAGUAGAAACUGUACGGGUAACCAUUAGGAGACGGUCUACUUCUAGGCCACGGAAGCUUACCUUUAGGAGUGGGGUCUAGCGUCCUCGUUAAGGUAGUCGGGUUGCUUUUGGAUGAACAUCCUGGACAACCGAAAGUAGAAUACAUUGUACUACUAUUACAAGAUCUCGUUCACCUUCUCCUACUUCCUACCCCCGUAACCCGAUACGGAGUCGUCGUCGUCGAUCAACUGGUCCUCUAGGUUCGACCACUGAAAAACCUCGACUUACUAAACGAACUUGGUGAUCUCCUCCUUCACGGGUAAGGAAAUAAACGUCUACCGUCACUAAACUGAAAUAGAGAACCAGACUUAUAACCUCACGGGGGACCCCUUCGAGUGGGACUGUCGAGACAUAAACCUCCGGGAGGGGGAGUCUUAGAACUUCUUGAAGAUCGAAGAGACCAGUAGGAUCUAGUUGUGGGUCUUAAAGUCCGUUUAAAGCUGGAAUUGAACGGUUAAGGUCUCGAUCGACCUCAACGUCUCCGAGUACAAGACCUCGUCUGACGAGACGUCGGGGUGUUACUGUUGAACAACGUACUAACGUUGUUGAACAACGUCAAGUUGUCCUUCUACGGUAAUGUCUAUACGACGUUCAUCAGGGCCUUCGAGGAGUAAACUGAGAUGAAGGUGAUCUACUAUCGGGACCGAGACGAUUACAAAUACGAUACUUCCAGUUGGUUUUGUAACUGACACGUGGAGGUUUCGGAUGGUUAAGACGGGGUCUUCCUCAUGUCAACCUGUUGUCACUCUUGUUGUAAUACCGAGUCCUUCUGUGUUGACCACCGUUUAGAAUAAGGUGUCCUACGUGUGUGACGAAGACUGUCGAGACUUCUACGUCCUCUACUAAAGGACACAUUCCAGACCUCGACACCUUGUUCGUGAAAUUCGGACGACUACCUUACCUGUCUCACCAAGUCUAAUCGGACCUCGUCCUUCAAAGAAGUCGGGUUGUUCGAUAUUGUGGACGGGCGUUGUCACACCACCUACCAGUUCCUCGUGUGAACCGUUCGUGUAGACGACAAAUACGAUCUUUCUUUUCUUUUCUGUUCCGUGGGUAUACACUUUGACUCCGGUUACAAUUCCUAACGUGUCUCCUCUACGAAGUCACCGGGUUCUUUUUCCUCUGUUUCCCAUGACGAUUCCUCCACGUCUUCUUCGGACGUUAGAAGUACGGGAUCUUAAAAAAUCAAAGUCAAUACGACGAUACAUUACUACGACCUGGACUAAUAAUCGUGAAAAUAAUCACCCUAUAAAUAAAAUUUAACUUUGGAAUGUCAUACCCGACGGAAAACAAGUUCAUAACAUUCUUGAAACAGUCUACUAUACCGACCUUUGAAGAGAAUAGAGUCAGGACGAAUAAGGUAAAAAACCCCUCUAUAAUCACUGUGAACGUGGUAAACCUUACCAAAAACACGACACGAACUGACAAUAAACCAGUAAACAGUACUAAACUCUAAAACAAACUUUCACUACCUAGUCAAUACCUACUGAAGACGAUAACAGUGUGACACCCGAAAACUUUCAAUUGACCUGGUAACUCGACCAAUAUCAAACAAACUAUAGUGUAGAUUUCCUGUAUUAGUGUCUGGAACGUCGAUGUGAAGUAGUUCUAAGUUUACUUGUAAAACUUAACCUUAUAAUC
This 6865-nucleotide ribosomal RNA is filed under the name Triticum aestivum (bread wheat). Its description in RNAcentral is "partial small subunit ribosomal RNA". Lineage: Eukaryota; Viridiplantae; Streptophyta; Magnoliopsida; Poales; Poaceae. The record is from RNAcentral.